Molecule: ribosomal RNA, 393 nt
Filed under: uncultured bacterium
Lineage: Bacteria
Description: partial 16S ribosomal RNA
Rfam family: Bacterial small subunit ribosomal RNA
Source: RNAcentral
AUACGGAGGGUCCAAGCGUUAUCCGGAUUUAUUGGGUUUAAAGGGUGCGUAGGCGGCCGAUUAAGUUAGAGGUGAAAUCCCGUGGCUCAACCACGGAACUGCCUCUGAUACUGGUUGGCUAGAAAAUGGUUGCUGUGGGCGGAAUGUGUAGUGUAGCGGUGAAAUGCUUAGAGAUUACACAGAACACCGAUUGCGAAGGCAGCUCACGAAACCAAUUUUGACGCUGAGGCACGAAAGGGUGGGGAGCAAACAGGAUUAGAUGCCCUGGUAGUCCACGCCGUAAACGAUGAUAACUCGCUGCUGGCGAUACAAUGUCAGUGGCUUAGCGAAAGCGUUAAGUUAUCCACCUGGGGAGUACGUUCGCAAGAAUGAAACUCAAAGGAAUUGACGGGG